CAGCCAUCACGAAUGAUUUUAGUAGGGAC
This 29-nucleotide non-coding RNA is filed under the name Mus musculus (house mouse). The record is from RNAcentral. Lineage: Eukaryota; Metazoa; Chordata; Mammalia; Rodentia; Muridae.